AUUGAACGCUGGCGGCAUGCCUUACACAUGCAAGUCGAACGGCAGCACGGGAGCUUGCUCCUGGUGGCGAGUGGCGAACGGGUGAGUAAUACAUCGGAACGUACCCUGAAGUGGGGGAUAACGUAGCGAAAGUUACGCUAAUACCGCAUAUUCUGUGAGCAGGAAAGAGGGGGAUUGCAAGACCUCUUGCUUUAGGAGCGGCCGAUGUCGGAUUAGCUAGUUGGUGAGGUAAAGGCUCACCAAGGCGACGAUCCGUAGCGGGUCUGAGAGGAUGAUCCGCCACACUGGGACUGAGACACGGCCCAGACUCCUACGGGAGGCAGCAGUGGGGAAUUUUGGACAAUGGGCGCAAGCCUGAUCCAGCCAUGCCGCGUGAGUGAAGAAGGCCUC
RNAcentral lists this ribosomal RNA (390 nucleotides) under uncultured bacterium. RNAcentral's name for it is "bacterial SSU rRNA". It matches the Rfam family "Bacterial small subunit ribosomal RNA", at positions 30 to 418 of the family's 1533-position model. The record is from RNAcentral.